RNAcentral lists this ribosomal RNA (252 nucleotides) under uncultured bacterium. Its description in RNAcentral is "partial 16S ribosomal RNA". It matches the Rfam family "Bacterial small subunit ribosomal RNA", at positions 524 to 776 of the family's 1533-position model. The record is from RNAcentral.
CACGUAGGGCGCAAGCGUGUCCGGAAUUAUUGGGCGUAAAGCGCGCGCAGGCGGUCCUUUAAGUCUGAUGUGAAAGCCCACGGCUCAACCGUGGAGGGUCAUUGGAAACUGGGGGACUUGAGUGCAGAAGAGGAAAGCGGAAUUCCACGUGUAGCGGUGAAAUGCGUAGAGAUGUGGAGGAACACCAGUGGCGAAGGCGGCUUUCUGGUCUGUAACUGACGCUGAGGCGCGAAAGCGUGGGGAGCAAACAGG